UUGACCUCACAUCAGCUACCAAUACCCGCUGAACUUAAGCAUAUCAAUAAGCCCGGAGGAAA
This 62-nucleotide ribosomal RNA is filed under the name Fusarium sp. SS-2012c. RNAcentral's name for it is "partial 28S ribosomal RNA". The record is from RNAcentral. Lineage: Eukaryota; Fungi; Ascomycota; Sordariomycetes; Hypocreales; Nectriaceae.